AUGAAAAACGUUCUUAUUUGCAGACAAUCAUCAACCAUCGAAGGAGAAGACGCAAACAAAGGUUCCUUCAGCUUAUGUGUUCACGAAUCUGCAGGUCUUCCUGACCUCGCCACCUGCAGGGUUGGUGAUAUUGCCCAUCUUAACCAUGGAGUCCGAGAACUGCUUGAAGAACAGCUCCGGGUCAGCCCAGUACUUGUUCACCGUGUCGGCCGUCGAGUACCCGGCGAUGCUGGACCACAUCUCCUGGUCGGAGUUGAGGAGGCCCUCACCCUUGAUGAGCGUCUCGAAAUAGGCGUUGUCAAAGGUCGCGGAAGUGUGGCUGUCCAUGGCACUGAUGUUGUCGUCGCCACCAUCCAAGGGGCAGAUCUCCUUGAGCUUGCUGAGGUAGGUCGCAGACGCAGGGUUGUACUUGGAUGUCAUCUCGAAGUCGCCGUAUAUCCUGUCCCGGAAGUUUGCGCACCGGGCGAAUCCGAUCGUGUGGGAUCCUUCAAUGCAAAUGUCAUAUGUCUAGUAAGCAUUGUUCAGCUUAAGAAGAUAACAAGGGUGCGCCCACUCACACAUAUCAGAAUUCAGAAGGUUCAGGUUACAAAGUUGCAUCUCCAUAUUGGUAUUUUUAAAAGACGUAAAGGAGUAUCUGUAGAUCCUACUUCAAAAUUACCAAAUUGUUCAUGUAUUUUACAUUGCUUAUAA
This 690-nucleotide ribosomal RNA is filed under the name Triticum aestivum (bread wheat). RNAcentral's name for it is "partial small subunit ribosomal RNA". The record is from RNAcentral. Lineage: Eukaryota; Viridiplantae; Streptophyta; Magnoliopsida; Poales; Poaceae.